Molecule: long non-coding RNA, 5988 nt
Filed under: Mytilus galloprovincialis (Mediterranean mussel)
Lineage: Eukaryota; Metazoa; Mollusca; Bivalvia; Mytilida; Mytilidae
Source: RNAcentral
CGCCUUUUCUUUUUUUCUAGCAGGGCGCGACGCAGAUUGAGGAUUCCCAGGUAUGUUUUCUGUUAAGACCUUUGUGUAUGUCUAAUUGGCCUUUUCUUUUUUCUGGCAGGGCGCGACGCAGAUUGAGGAUUCCCAGGUAUGUUUUCUGUUAAGACCUUUGUGUAUGUCUAAUUGCGCCUUUUCUUUUUUUCUAGCAGGGCGCGACGCAGAUUGAGGAUUUCAGGUAUGUUUUCUGUUAAGACCUUUGUGUAUGUCUAAUGUUGCCUUUUCUUUUUUUCUGGCAGGGCGCGACGCAGAUUGAGGAUUUUCAGGUAUGUUAUCUGUUAAGACCUUGGUGUACGUCUAAUGUUGCCUUUUCUUUUUUUCUGGCAGGGCGCGACACAGAUUGGAGAUUCGCAGGUAUGUUUUCCGUUAAGGCCUUUGUGUAUGUCUAAUGUCGCCUUUUCCUUUUUUCUAGCAGGGCGAGACGCAGAUUGAGGAUUUUCAGGUAUGUUUUCUGGUAAGGCCUUUGUGUAUGUCUAAUGUCGCCUUUUCUUUUUUUCUAGCAGGGCGCGACGCAGAUUGAGGAUUUUCAGGUAUGUUUUCUGUUAAGACCUUUGUGUAUGUUUAAUGUUGCCUUUUCUUUUUUUCUGGCAGGGCACGACGCAGAUUGAGGAUUUUCAGGUAUGUUUUCUGUUAAGGUUUUUGUGUAUGUCUAAUGUCGCCUUUUCUUUUUCUGGCAGGGCGCGACGCAGAUUAAGGAAUUCCAGGUAUGUUUUCUGUUAAGAUCUUUGUGUAUGUCUAAUGUUGUCUUUUCUUUUUUUCUGGCAGGGCGCGACGCAGAUUGGAGAUUCGCAGGUAUGUUUUCUGUUAAGACCUUUGUGUAUGUCUAAAGUUGCUUUUCUUUUUUUCUAGCAGGGCGCGACGCAGAUUGAGGAUUCCAGGUAUGUUUUCUGUUAAGACCUUUGUGUAUGUCUAAUGGUUUCUUUUUUUUUUCCUUUAGGUCGUGUGGCCUUUUUUUUUUUUUGCAGGGCGCGCGACGCAGAUUGAGGAUUCCAGGUAUGUUUUUCUGUUAAGACCUUUGUGUAUGUCUAAUGUGCGCCUUUUCUUUUUUUCUAGCAGGGCGCGACGCAGAUUGAGGAUUCCAGGUAUGUUUUCUGUUAAGACCUUUGUGUAUGUCUAAUGUUGUCUUUUCUUUUUUUCUAGCAGGUCGCGACGCAGAUUGAGGAAUUCCAGGUAUGUUUUCUGUUAAGACCUUUGUGUAUGUCUAAUGUUGUCUUUUCUUUUUUUUCUAGCAGGGCGCGACGCAGAUUGAGGAUUUUCAGGUAUGUUUUCUGUUAAGACCUUUGUGAAUGUCUAAUUUCGCCUUUUCUUUUUUUCUAGCAGGGCGUGACGCAGAUUGAGGAUUUUCAGGUAUGUUUUCUGUUAAGACCUUUGUGUAUGUCUAAUGUUGCCUUUUCUUUUUUUCUAGCAGGGCGCGACGCAGAUUGAGGAUUUCAGGUAUGUUUUCUGUUAAGACCUUUGUGUAUGUCUAAUGGUUCUUUUUUUUUCCUUUAGGUCGUGUGGCCUUUUUUUUUUUUUUAGCAGGGCGUGACGCAGAUUGAGGAUUCCCAGGUAUGUUUUCUGUUAAGACCUUUGUGUAUGUCUAAUGUUGUCUUUUCUUUUUUUUCUGGCAGGGCGCAUCGCAGAUUGGAGAUUUUCCAGGUAUGUUUUCUGUUAAGACCUUUGUGUAUGUCUAAUGUUGCGCCUUUUUCUUUUUUUCUAGCAGGGCGCGACGCAGAUUGAGGAUUCCCAGGUAUGUUUUCUGUUAAGACCUUUGUGUAUGUCUAAUGUUCGCCUUUUCUUUUUUUCUAGCAGGGCGCGACGCAGAUUGAGGAUUCCAGGUAUGUUUUCUGUUAAGACCUUUGUGUAUGUCUAAUUUCGCCUUUUCUUUUUUUCUAGCAGGGCGCGACGCAGAUUGAGGAUUCCCAGGUAUGUUUUCUGUUAAGACCUUUGUGUAUGUCUAAUGUUGUCUUUUCUUUUUUUCUAGCAGGGCGCGACACAGAUUGAGGAUUUAGGUAUGUUUUCUGUUAAGACCUUUGUGUAUGUCUAAUGGUUCCUUUUUUUUUCCUUUAGGUCGUGUGGACUUUUUUUUUUUUUUGCAGGGCGCGACGCAGAUUGAGGAUUUAGGUAUGUUUUCUGUUAAGACCUUUGUGUAUGUCUAAUGUUGUCUUUUCUUUUUUUCUAGCAGGGCGCGACACAGAUUGAGGAUUUUCAGGUAUGUUUUCUGUUAAGACCUUUGUGUAUGUCUAAUGUUGCCUUUUCUUUUUUUCUAGCAGGGUGCGUUGCAGAUUGAAGAUUUUCAGGUAUGUUUUCUGUUAAGGCCUUUGUGUUUGUCUAAUGGUUCCUUUUUUUUUCCUUUAGGUCGUGUGGCCUAUGCUACAUUUGCUGGUAUGUUUUUUGUUAAGGCCUAUGUGUAUGUUUAAUGUUGCCUUUUCUUUUUUUCUGGAAGAGCACGACGCAGAUUGAAGAUUCGCAGGUAUGUUUUCUGUUAAGACCUUUGUGUAUGUCUAAUGUUGUGUUUUCUUUUUUUCUAGCAGGGCGCGACGCAGAUUGAGGAUUUCAGGUAUGUUUUCUGUUAAGACCUUUGUGUAUGUCUAAUGUUGUCUUUUCUUUUUUUCUAGCAGGGCGCGACGCAGAUUGAGGAAUUCCAGGUAUGUUUUCUGUUAAGACCUUUGUGUAUGUCUAAUGUUGCCUUUUCUUUUUUUCUGGCAGGGCGCGACGCAGAUUGAGAUUCGCAGGUAUGUUUUCUGUUAAGACCUUUGUGUAUGUCUAAUGGUUCUUUUUUUUUUCCUUUAGGUCGUGUGGCCUUUUUUUUUUUGCAGGGCGCGACGCAGAUUGAGGAUUUUCCAGGUAUGUUUUCUGUUAAGACCUUUGUGUAUGUCUAAUGUUGCCUUUUCUUUUUUUCUGGCAGGGCGCGACGCAGAUUGAGGAUUUUCAGGUAUGUUAUCUGUUAAGACCUUGGUGUACGUCUAAUGUUGCCUUUUCUUUUUUUCUGGCAGGGCGCGACACAGAUUGGAGAUUCGCAGGUAUGUUUUCCGUUAAGGCCUUUGUGUAUGUCUAAUGUCGCCUUUUCCUUUUUUCUAGCAGGGCGAGACGCAGAUUGAGGAUUUUCAGGUAUGUUUUCUGGUAAGGCCUUUGUGUAUGUCUAAUGUCGCCUUUUCUUUUUUUCUAGCAGGGCGCGACGCAGAUUGAGGAUUUUCAGGUAUGUUUUCUGUUAAGACCUUUGUGUAUGUUUAAUGUUGCCUUUUCUUUUUUUCUGGCAGGGCACGACGCAGAUUGAGGAUUUUCAGGUAUGUUUUCUGUUAAGGUUUUUGUGUAUGUCUAAUGUCGCCUUUUCUUUUUCUGGCAGGGCGCGACGCAGAUUAAGGAAUUCCCAGGUAUGUUUUCUGUUAAGACCUUUGUGUAUGUCUAAUGUUGUCCUUUUCUUUUUUUCUAGCAGGGCGCGACGCAGAUUGAGAUUCCAGGUAUGUUUUCUGUUAAGGCCUUUGUGUAUGUCUAAUGUCGCCUUUUCUUUUUUUCUAGCAGGGCGCGACGCAGAUUGAGGAAUUCAGGUAUGUUUUCUGUUAAGACCUUUGUGUAUGUCUAAUGGUUCUUUUUUUUUCCUUUAGGUCGUGUGGCCUUUUUUUUUUGCAGGGCGCGACGCAGAUUGAGGAUUCCCAGGUAUGUUUUCUGUUAAGACCUUUGUGUAUGUCUAAUUGUCGCCUUUUCUUUUUUUCUGGAAGAGGGCGCGACGCAGAUUGAGGAUUCAGGUAUGUUUUCUGUUAAGACCUUUGUGUAUGUCUAAUGUUCGCCUUUUCUUUUUUUCUAGCAGGGCGCGACGCAGAUUGAGGAUUCCCAGGUAUGUUUUCUGUUAAGACCUUUGUGUAUGUCUAAUGUUGUCUUUUCUUUUUUUUCUGGCAGGGCGCGACGCAGAUUGAGAUUCAGGUAUGUUUUCUGUUAAGACCUUUGUGUAUGUCUAAUGUUGCGCCUUUUCUUUUUUUCUAGCAGGGCGCGACGCAGAUUGAGGAUUCCCAGGUAUGUUUUCUGUUAAGACCUUUGUGUAUGUCUAAUGGUUCUUUUUUUUUUUCCUUUAGGUCGUGUGGCCUUUUUUUUUUUGCAGGGCGCGACGCAGAUUGAGGAUUUUCAGGUAUGUUUUCUGUUAAGACCUUUGUGUAUGUCUAAUGUCGCCUUUUCUUUUUUUUUCUGGCAGGGCGCGACGCAGAUUGAGGAUUCCCAGGUAUGUUUUCUGUUAAGACCUUUGUGUAUGUCUAAUGUUGUCUUUUCUUUUUUUCUAGCAGGGCGCGACGCAGAUUGAGGAUUCCCAGGUAUGUUUUCUGUUAAGACCUUUGUGUAUGUCUAAUGUUGUCUUUUCUUUUUUUUCUGGCAGGGCGCGACGCAGAUUGAGGAUUCCAGGUAUGUUUUUCUGUUAAGACCUUUGUGUAUGUCUAAUGUUGCGCCUUUUCUUUUUUUCUAGCAGGGCGCGACGCAGAUUGAGGAUUCCCAGGUAUGUUUUCUGUUAAGACCUUUGUGUAUGUCUAAUGUUGCGCCUUUUUCUUUUUUUCUAGCAGGGCGCGACGCAGAUUGAGGAUUUUCAGGUAUGUUUUCUGUUAAGACCUUUGUGAAUGUCUAAUUUCGCCUUUUCUUUUUUUCUAGCAGGGCGUGACGCAGAUUGAGGAUUUUCAGGUAUGUUUUCUGUUAAGACCUUUGUGUAUGUCUAAUGUUGCCUUUUCUUUUUUUCUAGCAGGGCGCGACACAGAUUGAGGAUUUAGGUAUGUUUUCUGUUAAGACCUUUGUGUAUGUCUAAUGGUUCCUUUUUUUUUCCUUUAGGUCGUGUGGACUUUUUUUUUUUUUUGCAGGGCGCGACGCAGAUUGAGGAUUUUCAGCUAUGUUUUCUGUUAAUACCUUUGUGAAUGUCUAAUUUCGCCUUUUCUUUUUUUCUAGCAGGGCGUGACGCAGAUUGAGGAUUUUCAGGUAUGUUUUCUGUUAAGACCUUUGUGUAUGUCUAAUGUUGCCUUUUCUUUUUUUCUAGCAGGGCGCGACGCAGAUUGAGGAUUUAGGUAUGUUUUCUGUUAAGACCUUUGUGUAUGUCUAAUUUCGCCUUUUCUUUUUUUCAAGCAGGGCGCAACGCAGAUUGAGGAUUCUCAGGUAUGUUUUCUGUUAAGACCUUUGUGUAUGUCUAAUGUCGCCUUUUCUUUUUUUCUAGCAGGUCGCGACGCAGAUUGAGGUAUUCCAGGUAUGUUUUCUGUUAAGACCUUUGUGUAUGUCUAAUGGUUCUUUUUUUUUCCUUUAGGUCUGUGGCCUUUUUUUUUUUUGCAGGGCGCGACGCAGAUUGAGGAUUCCCAGGUAUGUUUUCUGUUAAGACCUUUGUGUAUGUCUAAUUUCGCCUUUUCUUUUUUUUUAGCAGGGCACGAUGCAGAUUGAGGAUUCCCAGGUAUGUUUUCUGUUAAGACCUGUGUGUAUGUCUAAUGUUGUCUUUUCCUUUUUUUCUGGCAGAUUGAGGAUUCCCAGGUAUGUUUUCUGUUAAGACCUUUGUGUAUGUCUAAUGUUGUCUUUUUCUUUUUUUCUAGCAGGGCGCGACGCAGAUUGAGGAUUCCCAGGUAUGUUUUCUGUUAAGACCUUUGUGUAUGUCUAAUGUUGUCUUUUCUUUUUUUCUAGCAGGGCGCGACGCAGAUUGAGGAAUUCCAGGUAUGUUUUCUGUUAAGACCUUUGUGUAUGUCUAAUGUUGCGCCUUUUCUUUUUUUUCUAGCAGGGCGCGACGCAGAUUGAGGAUUCCCAGGUAUGUUUUCUGUUAAGACCUUUGUGUAUGUCUAAUGGUUCUUUUUUUUUUCCUUUAGGUCGUGUGGCCUUUUUUUUUUUUGCAGGGCGCGACGCAGAUUGAGGAUUCCCAGGUAUGUUUUCUGUUAAGACCUUUGUGUAUGUCUAAUGUUCGCCUUUUUCUUUUUUUCUAGCAGGGCGCGACGCAGAUUGAGGAUUCCCAGGUAUGUUUUC